UUGUUACGUUUGUUGGCUUCCUGAAAUUGAAACAGAAAGCAAAUUAAUGAAUUAUAUAUACAAAGAAAGAAAAAUGAUGAAGAUAUUGAUUUUCAAGUCCUGUUAUUUGCAGCAAUAUAACAACUAUAGCACAUAAAACACUUUUUUCAGUAUCAUGAUAAGAAAAUCAUGAACCAUAAGUGGAAUACUUUACUCUCAAUUAUCCAAAGACAAGAAUGAAUUCUGCCAGAUUUUAUGCACAGCAAAUUCCACAUGCUACAUCACACUGCCACCUUACAUCACCUUUAACAAUUUAUGACUAAUAUCUUAUCAUCAUUCAAUAUCCAACUUCAACAGUUUAUGUUUAUUCAAUAUUCCUUGACCAAACACAGAGACCAGAAAAUCCAUCCUUUAUUCUUUAGUAGGGCAUGUCCCAGCCAGAGCCAGUAAACAUCAAGAACUUCUGUAUAAAAAGUAGCGUCUAUAGUAUCAACCUAUUCCAUUAUAACUGUCCAACUUCAAAGAGAAACAAGGGAGAAAAAUAUGUAAAAUAAUUUAUAGGUGAGAGAAAUCAUGCCUG
This 559-nucleotide unclassified non-coding RNA is filed under the name Hevea brasiliensis (rubber tree). The record is from RNAcentral. Lineage: Eukaryota; Viridiplantae; Streptophyta; Magnoliopsida; Malpighiales; Euphorbiaceae.